GUUGCUGCAGCUAAGGCUCAAUUUUAACAUAUCUACAACCUAAGAAUCAGGUAUUCCAAUUGUCACUGCAGAGAUGGCAACCACAUGGCAGAAUCCUUGCAAUUAUAAAUUGUAAUGGAUUUCUGCAUCAUCCCUAAUCCCUAGUCCCUGGUUUCUCCAUUAAACGGCCGGAGCCCCAUUCAUCUUGUUGUUUCAUUUUUGAAAGACUACUAGGUCAUAAACUUAGUGCCUGUUUGGCAUUGAGUUUG
RNAcentral lists this unclassified non-coding RNA (248 nucleotides) under Hevea brasiliensis (rubber tree). The record is from RNAcentral. Lineage: Eukaryota; Viridiplantae; Streptophyta; Magnoliopsida; Malpighiales; Euphorbiaceae.